This is a non-coding RNA of Pogona vitticeps (central bearded dragon), 1608 nucleotides long. Lineage: Eukaryota; Metazoa; Chordata; Lepidosauria; Squamata; Agamidae. The record is from RefSeq and is a predicted model, not a curated record.
UGAAAAAGCGAGCAGCGAGGGUUUACAACUCUGGAUUUCAAAGAGGCUGGGGGGCUGAACACUAGCAACACCAGGCAAGCCAGACCAUAGGUCAUCUCUCUCUCUCUCUCUAGCAACCCCACAGCUGCAGUAAGAAUAAGCAAACACAGCAGUAGGGGGAAGACUUAAAACAGGAGGGAGGAGAUGGAAAGUAGGGAUUGCGGCUGAGGCGGGCGAUUUAUUCUUCUGGCACGUGCGGAGGGGCCGGGUUUGGAUCAGCUGUAUUUAUUUAGUGAAAGGACCAAAGAAAAGGAGGCAAGCGAGCAAAGCCAGUUUCGCCAGAGAGAGGGAGAGAGGAAAAGAAAAAAGGCAAGAGUUUGAAUACCCCACCACCACAUGGUUAAAAAGGAAAGAAGAGGAAAGAAAAGAAAGCUGCAGGUGUUUGCAAGAGGGAGACAGAAGAGAAGGAGACGGCGACCGUCGCUCUGGGUCCGCACAGCUAGGAAUUAGCAAGGGAGGCGAAGUUGUGAGGGCCAGUGUGGAGGCUAAGCUUAGCAGUCUUUAUGUCUGAGUCCGCCUCAGUUCCGAAAUGGAGAGAAGUAAAUUCAGCACUGGAGGAAUCGCUUUUUGAAAGAAUGCUGCUUCAACCAAUGUUGACAGUUUGCAUGUUCAGCACACCUCCAAUUAAAAAUGUACCAGGCCAUCUCUGUUGCCAUGCCUCAUCCAUUGUAUUUUACAGAUAUUCCAGAUGAUGUCAUCCUCCACUCUUGUUUUUCCAGCACUGCUUCUGUCUUUUUUACUGUGGAGAAUCCAUUAAGAAAAAAAAAAGAUGGAAUACUUGCAUGGUGCCUUCUAAUUGUCCUUUUACUUUUCCUACCUUAUGGACAGUGGCGCUGUGUAAAAGCCAUGCACACAUGCCAUAUCUAUCAAAUGUUAAGCUGGAUCAGAUCAUGAGUUUUCAAGCCAUUUGUAAGAAAUGUAUACCUGUCAAAAUGUGGCCUUCACUCAUGAUAGUAUAUGACAUAUUUCUACAAAGAGGUUGUAUCUGUGUGUGUGCGUGUGUGUGUGGGGGGGGAAACCUGUAUGAACUGCUCUUGAAAUACGUUCUGUCUUAUGACUAUUGUAGAGGGAUCGCUAAACACCGAGGACCAGUUAUUUAAAAAAAAGCAAAUUGCAGCUUGCAGCAUUAUUUCUGAUUGCAUUCUCAUCUGUUGCCCCUGCCCCAAACCCCAGGCAAGGGGAGACAAACUUCCACUUGGCCCUCAUUAGCCAAAAUGCUUUUGUCCAGUUUUGCAUAUAAGUAUCCAAAGUCACAAGAAAUCUAUACUGAUCCCCAUUGUGAUUCCUGAUUGUGCAAACUGAAGUGUAAAAAAGCACCUGUGGAACAAAUACAUACUUCACCGAGAGAUAUGUUUCUCACCUUCCAUUUAAGCAUUAAAUCAUCUCUAGGAGGAGAUAAUAUCUGUAUUAAGGUAGGGUGCUGGUGGGGUCUUCUUUUUUUCACCCUAGUGUUUUUGUUGUAACCUUAGUUCCUAUGUAAGCUGCACUUGCUCAAGUAUAACCAGGACUAAUGUAUUCGCGAAGGCUUUCACGGCCGGGAUCUAAUGGUUGUUGUGGGUUUUUUGGGCU